UACCAUGCAGUCGAACGGAAUCUUCGGAUUUAGUGGCGGACGGGUUGAAGUAACGCGUGAGAAUCUGCCUUCAGGACGGGGACAACAGUUGGAAACGACUGCUAAUACCCGAUAUGCAGCGAUGUGAAAGAUUUAUCGCCUGGAGAUGAGCUCGCGUCAGAUUAGCUAGUUGGUAGUGUAAUGGACUACCAAGGCGACGAUCUGUAGCUGGUCUGAGAGGAUGAGCAGCCACACUGGGACUGAGACACGGCCCAGACUCCUACGGGAGGCAGCAGUGGGGAAUUUUCCGCAAUGGGCGCAAGCCUGACGGAGCAAUACCGCGUGAGGGAGGAAGGCUCUUGGGUCGUAAACCUCUUUUCUUAGGGAAGAUAAUGACGGUACCUAAGGAAUCAGCAUCGGCUAACUCCGUGCCAGCAGCCGCGGUAAUACGGAGGAUGCAAGCGUUAUCCGGAAUGAUUGGGCGUAAAGCGUCCGUAGGUGGCUUUGUAAGUCUGUGGUUAAAGCGUGGAGCUUAACUCCAUAAGGGCCAUGGAAACUACAUAACUUGAGUGAAGUAGGGGUAGAGGGAAUUCCCAGUGUAGCGGUGAAAUGCGUAGAGAUUGGGAAGAACACCGGUGGCGAAAGCGCUCUACUGGACUUAUACUGACACUGAGGGACGAAAGCUAGGGGAGCGAAAGGGAUUAGAUACCCCUGUAGUCCUAGCCGUAAACGAUGGAUACUAGGUGUUGCCCGUAUCGACCCGGGCAGUGCCGUAGCUAACGCGUUAAGUAUCCCGCCUGG
This 780-nucleotide ribosomal RNA is filed under the name uncultured bacterium. Its description in RNAcentral is "bacterial SSU rRNA". It matches the Rfam family "Bacterial small subunit ribosomal RNA", at positions 52 to 876 of the family's 1533-position model. The record is from RNAcentral.